AAGAGCCCUCUAUCCCCA
Molecule: transfer RNA, 18 nt
Filed under: Frithia pulchra
Lineage: Eukaryota; Viridiplantae; Streptophyta; Magnoliopsida; Caryophyllales; Aizoaceae
Description: partial tRNA-Leu
Source: RNAcentral